AUGAGUCCGGUCAAGCCGGUGGGAGGCAAUGCCGGAAAAGUUGCCUUGGAUGAAGAUCCUGAUAAGAUGACUCGUCACAUAGGUGAGGCUAAUAAGGAGCUUCGCAUCACUAGCGAUGGUAUACAACAAUUAUUUGGGUUCCCUCGUGGUGGUCGUUCUGCGCCAAGGCCGUCAGAGGACGGAUAUGACGACGCUCUGAUGAAGUUAAGAUCGGAGCUUGACAUUAGCAGGAACAAAGAUAUCAAGACAAAGGAUUUCAGGAAUAAGCUCAAGGUGCUCGUCAAGGAUCCUAGCAAAGAUGACCUUGCUCUGAAAGUGUUCUUCAUUAUUGUGUUUAUGAAGGUUGUGUUGCCUGGUGCCGCCCCGCGUGUUUCCAGAGAGGCAGCAAUGUUUGAGGGUCUCGUCUUUGAGGACAUGGCUAAUAUGGAUUAUUGCCAGCUGAUGGUUGAUGAGCUUAGAAGGGUUGUUGCCAAGUACCAAGAUGGUGUUACCCUUGGGAAGGCAAUCACACGUUGUGCUAUAGGGCCUGUACUAAUGUACCUUGACUGCCUUAUCCGUGGCAAGAUUGCGGAGCCUGACAUGCGAGUCCCCCGCAUAUGUUUCAUGGAUCCUGUCAAGCUUUCUGAUUUGGUUGAUGCAGAUUUGAUAAAAAAAAGGCAAUGCAGAUCCAAAGACUUGGGUGUUUGGGAAGCUUCCGUGGAAAACUCAAGAGGAGGUUGUUUUUUUCGAGUGUAUAAACGGCCAGUCCUGGAGAUGUCGUCGUCUUAG
Molecule: ribosomal RNA, 768 nt
Filed under: Triticum aestivum (bread wheat)
Lineage: Eukaryota; Viridiplantae; Streptophyta; Magnoliopsida; Poales; Poaceae
Description: partial small subunit ribosomal RNA
Source: RNAcentral